UGGCGAACGGGUGAGUAACACGUGGGUGAUCUGCCCUGCACUCUGGGAUAAGCCUGGGAAACUGGGUCUAAUACCGGAUAGGACCAUGCUUUAGUGUGUGUGGUGGAAAGUUUUUUCGGUGUAGGAUGAGCCCGCGGCCUAUCAGCUUGUUGGUGGGGUAAUGGCCUACCAAGGCGGCGAUGGGUAGCCGGACUGAGAGGUUGGUCGGCCACAUUGGGACUGAGAUACGGCCCAG
Molecule: ribosomal RNA, 235 nt
Filed under: uncultured Actinomycetales bacterium
Lineage: Bacteria; Bacillati; Actinomycetota; Actinomycetes; Actinomycetales
Description: partial 16S ribosomal RNA
Rfam family: Bacterial small subunit ribosomal RNA
Source: RNAcentral